This 20-nucleotide unclassified non-coding RNA is filed under the name Mus musculus (house mouse). Its description in RNAcentral is "oocyte_clustered_small_RNA10839". Lineage: Eukaryota; Metazoa; Chordata; Mammalia; Rodentia; Muridae. The record is from RNAcentral.
UGAGUUGGAGCCCAGACAUU